This 253-nucleotide ribosomal RNA is filed under the name uncultured bacterium. RNAcentral's name for it is "partial 16S ribosomal RNA". It matches the Rfam family "Bacterial small subunit ribosomal RNA", at positions 524 to 776 of the family's 1533-position model. The record is from RNAcentral.
UACAGAGGUCUCGAGCGUUAGGCGGAAUCACUGGGCUUAAAGCGUGUGUAGGCGGUUCGUUAAGUGCCUUGUGAAAUCCCACGGCUCAACCGUGGAACUGCUUGGCAUACUGGCGGUCUUGAGCAACCUAGGGGCGAGCGGAACAAAUGGUGGAGCGGUGAAAUGCGUAGAUAUCAUUUGGAACGCCAAUGGUGAAAACAGCUCGCUGGGGGUUUGCUGACGCUGAGACACGAAAGCCAGGGGAGCAAACGGG